UGUUUUGUAAAAUCUGCUAUCAUUACUAAACAACAUUAGUUGAUUGUACUAUUUAGCUGAAAGAUUAAUUGCACUAAUCGGGUUUAGUAAAGAUAGCUUGGUAUGUUAAGUUUUAUAAGAAAGGGGAGGGGCUAAUUCAAAAACAUCCCUGGUCACAACACAAGGCCAGCGCAACGGACUCGGAUGGAAGAGCACCAGCAGAGACGGCCUGUCGGCACCCUCACCUGGAAGCAGCUUUACCGAACACCUUGAACGAUCCUUGCGUUGUGAGGAUACUGUGGAAGUGAUUCUUCGAAAGCUUUAUGGUGGACAGAUUCUGCAGGUUCUGCAUGGCAACAAGAGGCGAGAUGCAAGCCAAAG
Molecule: long non-coding RNA, 360 nt
Organism: Acanthopagrus latus (yellowfin seabream)
Lineage: Eukaryota; Metazoa; Chordata; Actinopteri; Spariformes; Sparidae
Exons: 3
Source: RefSeq, a predicted model, not a curated record